RNAcentral lists this long non-coding RNA (848 nucleotides) under Ananas comosus (pineapple). RNAcentral's name for it is "long non-coding RNA (ACOM_LNC036193)". Lineage: Eukaryota; Viridiplantae; Streptophyta; Magnoliopsida; Poales; Bromeliaceae. The record is from RNAcentral.
UAUCCGAUCAAUCACAACCUCUUAUGUGUGUGACCCCAUAGGUUCUAUUCUAUCUGGUAGUGAGAUAUAUUUUGAUCACUAUCAACAAUAUCACUGAAACUCCUUUCAAUGGAUUAGAACAAUUCCAACUCAGCCCAAUGAGAAUUAUCGAUCAUCUAGAAAAUUCUCAUGAGUCUCACAAUCCACCAGUGACGCCUAGCAGCAUGUAGUGGCAUUCCAGUAGAAUGGAAUAAUGAACCUCUUGGUGCAGUUACCGUGUGAUACAAUCCUUCUAUCAUGAGUCCCGACUUGACGGAGGUUAUGGAACAACUCGUCAAACCCCAUCGUCUGUCAUAUGUUAAAUUUAUUCGACUCGAGUUUCUAAUAUCGGAAACCCUUUUCCGCUAUUUAUUUUGCCCUGGCCAAGGUCUUCUAAACUCGGUCUCAUAAAUCACAUAGGACUAACACCCCUAUCUACCAAGGGAGAUAGAAUUCCAUCUGAGUGCGCACCCUAUUCCUACAAUGAACCUACUGCAGCCAACAUGCACCGCAAGGACCCGAAUGGCUAGGGACCAAGUGUAUGUACAGUCAAACUACAGUAACCUUAUUGUGAAUAGCCGAGGCACCGCAGGUCAAAGGACCAGUCACACUACUGCAACAAUUGAGUAAGUCACUGACGAGUGAGUAGACAUCCAAGUGACUUCUCGCGUUGGUCACGCUCGGUACCCUUGUUCUCUAACAACCACCUGCAUAUUCGCUUCAGUGUCCCCACACUGUCGACUCGAAACUCGUCUACCCAAAAGGGAAGCGACCUAUGCACCAAUCUCACUGGAUCAAUCACCGUCCCCGUGAUGAUCCAUUGAUCGGGA